RNAcentral lists this ribosomal RNA (411 nucleotides) under Lecidea cancriformis. Its description in RNAcentral is "SSU rRNA". It matches the Rfam family "Bacterial small subunit ribosomal RNA", at positions 517 to 952 of the family's 1533-position model. Lineage: Eukaryota; Fungi; Ascomycota; Lecanoromycetes; Lecideales; Lecideaceae. The record is from RNAcentral.
GCGGUAAUACGUAAAAGACUAGUGUUAUUCAUCUUUAAUAGGUUUAAAGGGUACUUAGACGGUAAAUAAAGCCCGAAUAGGGAACUAAUAUACUAGAGUUUGAUGUAAGGAAGCAUGAAAGUACUGUUGGUGUAGAGAUAAAAUUCUAUCAUACCAAAUAUGGCACAGGUUUAGGCGAAAGCAUCUUCUUAUGUAAUAACUGACGUUGAAGGACGAAGGCUUUGUGUCUCGAACAGGAUUAGAUACCCCAGUAGUCUAAGCAGACAAUGAUGAAUGUCAUAGAUUAGAUUUAAUUAAAUUUAUUCUAUAAAUGAAAGUGUAAGCAUUCCACCUCAAGAGUAAUUUGGCAACAUUGGAACUGAAAUCAUUAGACCGUUUCUGAAACCAGUAGUGAAGUAUGUUGUUUAAUUA